UACAGCGUGGGGGUGGGAGCGCGUGAUUGGAUGGACUGCAGCGAUUAGGAUUGGGCAGCCAUUCUCUCUCCCGUGAAAAUAUCUCCCUUCUCUCCCUCAUCCCGCUCCUCUUCUCCGUGUCGCCGCCGCCUCCGCUCCCCUCCCUCUCGGCCGCCUCGUCUCCUCCGCCUCCACCAUCUCCUCCUCCCGCGUCUCCUCGUCCCAUCUUGCUGCCGCCGGCUCCCCUCCUCUCCCCCUGAUUCUCCCCUUCAGCUCGGCCGUCUCAUCUCCUUUGCUGCUGCGCCGCCUCUUCCUCUGCCUCCGUGCUCAACAGGAGGAGCCGGGGUCGCAGCUGCACCACACGACAGUGGGCGAGGGCGAGCUCCAGCGCGAGCAUGCGGAGAGCUAUCCACUGGAUCCGGCCGGCCCAGAUCCACACGGCUCCGUCAACGACAGGCCCGGGGACCCUGCCGGCGUGGGUGUGCCGGCGUCGUUCUCUCUUCUCCAAUCCAUUCUUCCAGAUUUCUCUCCUUCUCUUUCUUAUGUACUCUUUUCUUGACGAACAGAGGGGGACGAAUUAGGAUGGAUCCACGCUGUCGACGCCUCUAAUUUGCUGCCAUGAACGAGGCCUCGCCCAGCGACCACCUCCAUUCAGCUGGCGGAAGAUGACGAUGGCCAACUCCCAGGUGCAGCCAGGCGGGAGGCGAAAAUGGCAAGGGCGGCAGGAGAAAUUCCUCCUUGUGUUGCUGCAUCACUGCAUCUCCCGAUAUUCCAGGAGUAGCUCGCCUGCCUGCUUUGAGAAGAAGAGAUGGAAGGUGGAGGUGGGAACAUGACGCAACGAGGAUAAGGCGUGGGCGUUACAAGAAGUGGGUUGGAGCAAGAAGUAGAGCAGGCAAUUCCCCUCUCUACAUUGGCAUCUACACAGCCAAAUCAAGGACUUAAACUCCUGAUGUCCAUGUAUUUGCUAAUGCUGUCCAUAAGAACGGCUCCUCCUAUCCCCUGCUCCUCUCGCAUUGGCGCAAGUCCGCCUCCUCCCCCGCCUCGGUCUCAACGCGUGCAGCAGCGAUCCGGGAGGAGCUCGAGCCGCAGUGGUGGUCCAUGAUGCCUUCGCCGUCGUCCCCGGCUGGAGAAGCAUGGGCCGCAGAGACGGCCGGAUCUGUCCGGCCCUCACGCUGUCGUUCGUCCACUCUCAAGGAUAAUUUGUUUGUUCAGCUGAUUUGUACAGUUCCAAUACCGGGUUGUUAAGGAAAAUCCAGAUGAUGCAUUCUACGAGUUGGAGACCCCCCCAACAGCAAAUUUAGUCCGACGUCUUUGAUGAAAAUAGUGGUUUGAGCCAUAGUUCCAAGAAUGGAGCUGGACAGUCUUUUUGAGGAAAAAAAUGAUGUCGCAAAGGCCAGGACUUAAGAGAGAUGCUGAUACUAUGAGGUGAAAUGUUCAUUUACUUAAGAGAAACGUGCACAAGGAUGACUGACCGUGUGCGGCACUGACCUCGAUGGCGCCCCGCAUCAUUUCUGCCCGACCUCAAUGUUUACCUCGUCACCCACGGCCAGAUGGUCGAAGACAUCCCGACGAAGCAGCACAUGCUUGUCCCUUCUUUCAUUGGCGGCGGGAGAAAGAGGAUCCACCUGCUCCCUUAUGCUGAUUCGAGCCUUCCUUGUGAGUUGGCUCCAAUUUUUGGAGAAAUUUUGAGCUGUAUUGAGUCCGAUGUUGUCAAUCGAGCCGCAUAGCCAGGAGGGAGGUGGGGGCAAUAUGAGCCCAGAUAAUCCUGCGGCGAAAACAAGAGGCGGUCUUUGACGAAUCUCUGGACAAACACUGCUGUCAAGCCAGCUGGCGCUCCAAAGAAAACGAAGCAGUAGUUCUUUCAUGGACUAGGCUAGAUAUGUACAUACGGGUAUCUUCUAUGUUCUGCUUGCUUAUCAAGCGAAGUUCACCAUUAGAAGGGUGUCUUGCUGAAGAGAGCUUCUCAGCUCUGCUGCGUCACAGCAAUGGUCUGGCCAUCGGGGUCUGAAGAUCGUCAACUCAGCACACUUUUGGGCGUGCACCAGGUUUAUUUUGUGCAACUUUGUAAGACAAGGCUUUGACACUCGCAUAACUAUGUCGAGCCACUGUCAUGACAAUUCCUCUAUUUAGGUCCUCGAACAAAUCAAGUACUAUGCGUUGUAAAUAUCGCCGUCAGCCCUUUCUGUCUUAUCUCCCUUCUUAUGACAAUUUCUACCUCCUGUAAAUGCCACUGGGCCAUGCUGCUUAAUCUAAGUCUUUUUGUUCUUGUUAUACCGUGUGCUCUUUCUUAUGUCUUGUGUUUGCUGCUAGGCUUGCUAAUCUUUACUGAUUCACCUUGCAAGAUAAGCAUGAUGUCUCUGCCGGUCUGUUCACUGUUCCAGCAGAUCGUUCAAGGUUCUUUUUGGCCUUCUUUAAAUAUCGAUAGGAACUCAUUAGUAAAUCAAAGUUAAGAAUCGACAACUAAAUUAAAUGUUCAGCGCACGGAAACUUGAUUUGUUUUUGUAAAAGGCCUGCUAACAUCACACUUUCUUUUUUAUCCCUCCUGAUCUUGCCUGGCUCCCUGGUACUCUCUCCGUAAACUAAUAUAAGAGCAUUUAGAUCACUAAAGUAGUGAUCUAAACGCUCUUAUAUUAGUUUACGGAGGCUAAGGGAAUGCAUGCAUUUUACGGAAUGACUCUUCCAAAUAUUUUAUAUCACUCAGCUUUUCUAUUUCGGUCUUCAUGCAUUCAGUUGCUUUUGAAAUAACUUGCCCAGAUCUUCAGAAAACUAACAUUCUGCUCUGAAUUUAUCUAAUGUGAAAACAAAAAUAAUGCGCAUUUUUUACCUGUAAAGUAAUACAGAAAACAAACUGCAUCCUUUUUAACAAGACCAGUAUUGCUCAAUAAAAUGAGCAUGGAACGGGAAGGCUCCUACUACAUCCUAAAAAAAAACCCUGCUAUGACCAGCAUGUUUUUCUAUUCCUUGUUUCUUUGUAAUGUCUUUUUUAAAGCAAUUACCUUUUUCUUUUGAGACAAUUUAAAGCAAUUACCUAAAAGGAUAAGUGCGGCCCGUUUUCCCUUUGGACCGGCGCCCUUCUCACGAUGUCUGCCGCGGGCCUGCCUUCUAGCAGCCGAGCCCCACCUCAAAAAAGAAAAAAAAAACCAAACAAACAGCCGAGCCUUAUCCUGUCUGCUUCCCUGAGCUCGCAUUCUUCCCUGAGCCUUAUCCUAUCGAGCCCCACUCUCUACCUCUGUUGUUUCUUCUGCGGCGCUCGGUCCCCGAAAAGUACCCCGCCGACUCCCAGGCCUCAGAUCCGUUUUGGUCCUCAGCAAAGCAGGCCAAAGACUAAUCCGAGCACCUGCCUAAUCCUCAAGGUAUAUUCUUCUGUUCCAGAUUCAGCUCUAAUCCUGCUGCAUGCCCACGAAAAUCCAAUUGGGUUGCUCCCCAUUCCUCAGAAUGUUGUAUAUUUGCAUAAAAGUGGUGAGAUGUAUAUUUAUCUGUUCAAUGUCCACGUUUGAUCCCGUUGCGUGUCCACAAAACACAUGUUUGGUCGCUCCCUAUCUUUUUUAAGAUGUGCUUUGUGUGCUGAUGCAUGCUCCACGAAUAUUAUAUCCGCAUAAGGCCGGUAGGAUAGAUAAUUUAACAGCUAUUAUUUGUUUUGAAACGCUCCGCUCGGUCUUUGUCCAGUAGUCUCAUUCCAUACUACCAGCCAAUAUCAUUGAUGCACGUGAUUUACCUAGGCCAUCGAAAAAAAAUUGUUCUCUCCAUACAUGCAUCCCAUCUUCUUCCUAGAAUAAUUCUGUUACUUACCUCUGUGAAUUUCUUUGCAUUAUUAUAGUUUCGUUUCAUCAUGAGAUUGCUAGAGAGUUCUUCGGUUCUGUAUGCACAUGCAAUCAAAGGCUUGGCUGCUCACUGUUCUUGAUGCACGCUACAUUUAUACCUUCUGACAGCCCUCUGGGUCUAUCUCCUGAAACCAUCCUCAUGGAAUUGGUUGAGCUGUCCACCACAUAUUUGGCUGAAGCAAUGUUUGAGAAGCUUGGGCUCCCUAAACCAAUCUACCAUGUGCAUUGACUUGAGCAAGGUGAUGUAAAGCAGAAAUUGAAUUCCAUUGUACGAAAGAACGUUUCCAUGCUUCAGCAUGCCGGGCUAAACUGAAAACUCGUGUAUGCGAGGAUGAGGAGACAUCAAUGAAUCUUGCAGCCGAUCUGGCCAUUGAAUACAUGGAAAACAAAGAGAACAAAGUACUUGUUGAUUACAAUUAUUACCAACUGGAGCAAAAUAAAAAGACAUGUGCAAGAGUAUCAGACAAGCUGCUAGAAAAAUCAGAGGAUAUCAACCAACGCAGCAACAAAAUCAAACUGAUAACUAAAGAGGCAUGCAACUAUGUGGAUGAAGUGCGUGCUGCAUCAAAUAAAAUCCAUUGUCUUACUGGUGUUGCCUUGGACCCAACUACCUCAAUGUCCGUCUCUAAUCUGAGGCAGGCUCUCCUGGUGAUUCAUGAUGCAGUAAUUGCACUGCAAAACACUACAACCACAGCAUCUCAGUUCCUGGAGGAAGAAGGCAUGUACUCUGAUGAGGACGUGGCUGAUCCAGUAUACACUGGGCAUUCUGAUGAAGAUUCUGCUGAAGAUUGCCAUCCAGACAUGAACGACGACUACGCUCAUUAUAUGCGAUAUCCAUGAGCAUCAUGUUCAGCCUGCUGAGCUAUCUGAUCGCCAUAUGAAGCUCUAUAUGUAUAGCUUCACUAUGAUGGGUUGCUUCUGUUAGGCGGGAACCAGUGUGGUUCUUACGUUCAAUCUCCAUGUUUAGUCUCCUGUGUUAGUUAAAUAAGAUAUGAAGCUCUGUCUUAUAGCUUCACCUUAGAAAUCUGUCUCCUUUUCGAACUGUACUCUCAUCAUGCAUAAGUAUUGAAUUCAUCGUGCUGUGCUAAGACAAUGUAAUUUAUCUAUGUUGUAUGUUUGCUUUUACCCACUGAGAAACUUCCUCUCAGUACCAUCGCUAUGCACCUGCAUUAACU
Molecule: RNA transcript, 4975 nt
Organism: Triticum aestivum (bread wheat)
Lineage: Eukaryota; Viridiplantae; Streptophyta; Magnoliopsida; Poales; Poaceae
Exons: 9
Source: RefSeq, a predicted model, not a curated record